Molecule: ribosomal RNA, 574 nt
Filed under: Listeria monocytogenes
Lineage: Bacteria; Bacillati; Bacillota; Bacilli; Caryophanales; Listeriaceae
Description: bacterial SSU rRNA
Rfam family: Bacterial small subunit ribosomal RNA
Source: RNAcentral
UUUAAAGAGAGUUUGAUCCUGGCUCAGGACGAACGCUGGCGGCGUGCCUAAUACAUGCAAGUCGAACGAACGGAGGAAGAGCUUGCUCUUCCAAAGUUAGUGGCGGACGGGUGAGUAACACGUGGGCAACCUGCCUGUAAGUUGGGGAUAACUCCGGGAAACCGGGGCUAAUACCGAAUGAUAAAGUGUGGCGCAUGCCACGCUUUUGAAAGAUGGUUUCGGCUAUCGCUUACAGAUGGGCCCGCGGUGCAUUAGCUAGUUGGUAGGGUAAUGGCCUACCAAGGCAACGAUGCAUAGCCGACCUGAGAGGGUGAUCGGCCACACUGGGACUGAGACACGGCCCAGACUCCUACGGGAGGCAGCAGUAGGGAAUCUUCCGCAAUGGACGAAAGUCUGACGGAGCAACGCCGCGUGUAUGAAGAAGGUUUUCGGAUCGUAAAGUACUGUUGUUAGAGAAGAACAAGGAUAAGAGUAACUGCUUGUCCCUUGACGGUAUCUAACCAGAAAGCCACGGCUAACUACGUGCCAGCAGCCGCGGUAAUACGUAGGUGGCAAGCGUUGUCCGGAUUUAUUG